This 270-nucleotide ribosomal RNA is filed under the name uncultured bacterium. RNAcentral describes it as "partial 16S ribosomal RNA". It matches the Rfam family "Bacterial small subunit ribosomal RNA", at positions 84 to 353 of the family's 1533-position model. The record is from RNAcentral.
UUUGAUGGCGACCGGCGCACGGGUGAGUAACACGUAUCCAACCUGCCGAUGACUCGGGGAUAGCCUUUCGAAAGAAAGAUUAAUACCCGAUGGCAUAGUUCUUCCGCAUGGUAGAACUAUUAAAGAAUUUCGGUCAUUGAUGGGGAUGCGUUCCAUUAGGUUGUUGGCGGGGUAGCGGCCCACCAAGCCUUCGAUGGAUAGGGGUUCUGAGAGGAAGGUCCCCCACAUUGGAACUGAGACACGGUCCGAACUCCUACGGGAGGCAGCAUG